GUCACCAUCUACAGGCAGAGACCAGCAGACAGGCACCAAAGAUAAAACCUCAACCACCUUCACUGGAUGUGCCUGAUGAGAUGUGGAGGCCCUGCUGGAGACCCUAACAGGGUAAAAGUAAAGUUCUGUCUCCCCUACACCUUGAACCAGAGUGAAGCAUGAUGGAAGAACAGAAGAGGAAGGCAUGGGAGAAAACUAAGGGGGAACAUCCCUAACGUUGAACAUAAGCAUAACCGAACCUAGCGAUCUGAGAUGAAUAGUGUAGCCACACUGGAAGAAAAAAAAAUAACCAACUGAAAUGACUUUUGGGCGCAGUGCAUCGACUAUAAACAUCUUCAAGUCCAAAGACAAGAACUGCAAACACAUACUGAACUGUCCCAUAGUAGGGACCCGAUCACCCAGGAACACACAACACUUCAAUCAUUUUGCUCCUAUCUGAAGAGGAUAUUUACCUUUACCUCCACUCGAUCUCCGGAAAGAAUCUUCUUGUACAGAAGAGGAAAAGAC
Molecule: long non-coding RNA, 507 nt
Organism: Prionailurus viverrinus (fishing cat)
Lineage: Eukaryota; Metazoa; Chordata; Mammalia; Carnivora; Felidae
Exons: 4
Source: RefSeq, a predicted model, not a curated record